RNAcentral lists this transfer RNA (73 nucleotides) under Plesiocystis pacifica. RNAcentral describes it as "tRNA-Thr". It matches the Rfam family "tRNA". From Rfam's summary of the family: Transfer RNA (tRNA) molecules are approximately 80 nucleotides in length. Their secondary structure includes four short double-helical elements and three loops (D, anti-codon, and T loops). The record is from RNAcentral. RNAcentral also lists the same sequence under 3 other names. Lineage: Bacteria; Pseudomonadati; Myxococcota; Nannocystales; Nannocystaceae.
GCCCAGAUAGCUCAGUUGGUAGAGCAGCGGUUUCGUAAACCGCAGGUCGCAGGUUCAAGUCCUGUUCUGGGCU